CGCUCUCAUUUCAGUGCCUUCACGUGGCGAGAGUGUUUAAACCAAACUGAA
This 51-nucleotide non-coding RNA is filed under the name unclassified sequences. The record is from RNAcentral.